This is a long non-coding RNA of Octopus bimaculoides (California two-spot octopus), 870 nucleotides long. Lineage: Eukaryota; Metazoa; Mollusca; Cephalopoda; Octopoda; Octopodidae. The record is from RefSeq and is a predicted model, not a curated record.
AGAACAACUUUAUUAAAAUGGCAAAAACUUUAACCUAUCACAUUCGCUUCCACCAAAACUCGAGUGACACACCAAAGACCUACCUAAACUGCGACGGCAAUGCUAUCACUGCGCCUUCAAAUGAUUUCAGUAUAAGUGUUCUCCAGAAUGUGGUUUCCCUCUUCGGCAAGGAACCAGAGAUGACAAUCACCAAACUAUGAAGACAUCUGAACUUAACCUUACGACAACUCACACACAUACACACACACUAUGAAGACAGUGCUCCAGCAUGGCCUCAGCCAUGACCUCUGAAGACAAAAAAAACUAAAGAACAAAAAACAGAUUUUAACAAAUAACAAGUACAAGAAUGGUGGUGGAGAUUGCGGUGGCAGUGACAACAAGGAUGAUGAUGAUGACGACAUUGAUGAUGAUGAUGAUGAUGAUGAUGGUGAUGACGAUGAUGAUGGUGAUGACGAUGAUGAUGAUGAUGAUGAUGAUGAUGAUGAUGAUGUGAGGAUGAUGAUGGUGAUGACGAUGGUGAUGACGAGGAUGAUGAUGGUGAUGACGAUGGUGAUGACGAGGAUGAUGAUGGUGAUGACGAUGGUGAUGACGAGGAUGAUGAUGGUGAUGACGAUGGUGAUGACGAGGAUGAUGAUGGUGAUGACGAUGGUGAUGACAAGGAUGAUGAUGAUGGUGAUGAUGAUGAUGAUGAUGAUGAUGAUGGUGAUGGUGAUGACGAUGGUGAUGACGAGGAUGAUGAUGAUGGUGAUGAUGAUGAUGAUGAUGAUGAUGAUGAUGAUGAUGAUGAUGAUGAUGAUGAUGAUGAUGAUGAUGAUGGUGAUGGUGAUGACGAGGAUGAUGAUAUAAUCAAUAAAGAAAUUUUAGUAUAAA